Molecule: transfer RNA, 74 nt
Organism: Loxodonta africana (African savanna elephant)
Lineage: Eukaryota; Metazoa; Chordata; Mammalia; Proboscidea; Elephantidae
Rfam family: tRNA
About the family: Transfer RNA (tRNA) molecules are approximately 80 nucleotides in length. Their secondary structure includes four short double-helical elements and three loops (D, anti-codon, and T loops). Further hydrogen bonds mediate the characteristic L-shaped molecular structure. tRNAs have two regions of fundamental functional importance: the anti-codon, which is responsible for specific mRNA codon recognition, and the 3' end, to which the tRNAs corresponding amino acid is attached (by aminoacyl-tRNA synthetases). tRNAs cope with the degeneracy of the genetic code in two manners: having more than one tRNA (with a specific anti-codon) for a particular amino acid; and 'wobble' base-pairing, i.e. permitting non-standard base-pairing at the 3rd anti-codon position.
Source: Rfam
UCCUGGGUGGUGUAAAUGGUUAACAUGGUUAGCUGCUAACUGAAAGAUUGGAGGUUCAAGUCCACCCAGAGGUG